UGGGUCUGAACUUCUUGACAACUUCAUCCAGGGCUUUCAUCCUCUGGAGGGUCACACAUUUCUUGUUGUCUUCUCCAGCUUUCAGAUUCAGCAAUGUCCUCACUCCUGACAGACCAGGGUCCCCUUUCCAGAGUAAUGGAGGAGCACCGUGAUUUUUUAAUCCAAAAUUCCCGGAUUUGAAUGAAAUGCUCUGGAAAGGCUCUGGAAAUCAUUGGGUGUUCACAAUCAUCAAUGAAGAUGUUCACCAGGAAUUGCUGAUCACUGGCCUCCAGCUGGAUGUUGCACUCCUGAUCACCACCCCGGCCAGCAGAUUUCAACCAGCCUGCUGUCUGCUCAUCCAGCCCAUACUUCAUGGGCUUCUCUGUGAGGGAGCCCUGUCUGUGUCCACUAGUACACACAUUCAUUUGGAUUUUAAACAAUCAAACAGAAGUGAGUGUUUUAACAGCAGAAUUAUUUUUCAAAGGGAAAUAGAAGGGUAUGGCUUUGAUGGAACGAGUGCCUUCAAGCUCCACUGGCAGGCACUGUUUGAAAACUAUUUGGGUGAUUUUUGAUAAGAAAUGAAAGAUGCAACAGCAGGAAGCCAUUCAGC
Molecule: long non-coding RNA, 589 nt
Organism: Pseudopipra pipra
Lineage: Eukaryota; Metazoa; Chordata; Aves; Passeriformes; Pipridae
Exons: 3
Source: RefSeq, a predicted model, not a curated record